GGUUUAACCAAAAAAAAACUGCUCUCGUUGAUCUCGUCAUGCAUCAUCAAGGGGUUCUGGGCCAUGUGCAUCCUAAGAACACGGAAGUUCUUCCAACGGCUGCUCCGCAAAUGGAAGGCUCAGCGUCGCGUAAGCGACGAGACGGGAACACUUUCCUGCACUGCAAUUUGGGAUUGAUGAAGAUGAUAUUGACGAUGAUCCAGAAUCUAUCACAGCAGAUAUCACGUCAUUGCUGUCUUUAUUUGAGCACCCGAGGCAAAACACCGAAAUAAUCAGAGUGAUCUUUUCAGUGUCAGAGAAAAUAUCUGAAGGUGAAGAUAUUUUAGAUGAUGGGUAAAAGUGGAGGAAAUAUCACCAGAAAACAGAGGAUGUACUAAAUCCAAGAAGCCAUUUCAAAUGUGUUCAAGGAGGUUAUUAUGCCAAAAAGAGAGUGCAGAUAUCUGAAGAAGACCCAACUAUUGUCGAAAUCAUUUACCAGGGAUUUCUCACUUGCACACAGGCCUCCAAAUGGAACACAUUCCUCCAUGAAUAAUCAGCUUGACUCAAUGACUCAAUCUGGGUAGAUGACGAUGACUUCGACAUUAAUGAUCUAGGAGACAUAAUCAGUAGUAAGGAGAGGAAGGGCAUUAAACAAAGAACUAUACUCUUGACAAAGUCAGAGGUAGAAAUGAUGAACGAUGGGUACAAGUGGAUAUAGCAUGGCAUCAAGACUUUGAAGAAGAGCCCCAACCCCAGGAAUUACUAUAAGUGUUUGGUGAAUGGAUGCCCGGUGAGAAAGAGCAUUGAGAGAGAUAGGGAUGAUUCAAGUUAUGUUAUGACAACCUUUGAAGGCAUUCACAACCACAAUAAAACCGGCUAUUGUCACACUGGCACACAGGCCUCUAGCGUAACAGAGUCCUCCAUGAAUAAUCAGGUUGACUCAACUCGGGGUAUUUCGGGAUAGAUGAUGAUAUUGACGACAAUCCAGGUCGUACUGUAUCUUUUUUUUUAUUUUUGGUUUUGAUUUCAGUUUGAAUGUCCUAAACCCCUUAUUCCUUUACCAUGUUAAAUUUGAUAAGUAAAAAUAUUAAUGGUAAGAGAGAGUUAUAGAGAAUGAUAUCAAUGACUUCUAGGUAUAUUUACCAAUAUUUGAUUUUAACUUUAUUGGUUUUUACUGCUAUUUUGCAUGCUAAACCACAUUUACUUACUUAAACACGUUGAAUUUAUAUUAAAAUGACAUGCAAUUAUCUUAAAUUCACUGUCGUUGUUAAAUACUAUCACAGCAGAUGGGAUAAUGGUCGAGCCAUUUCAGCCUUUCAGUGACAACGUCUUCAAGGACAGGAGAGACUUAGAGACUGUGACUGCAUGGACGAAGGAAUCUGGGUCUUUUGAAGGAGGAUAUAAUUAGAGGAAAUAUGGCCAGGAAGCCAUUCCUGGAGCCAAAUUUCCAAGAAACUAUUUCAGAUGUAGUCAUGAAUAUGAUUAGAUCUGUCAAGCUAUGAAACAUGUGCAGAGAAUCCAAGAGCGGCCUUGCCUUUUACAGGAUCACCUAUUGUGGCAGUCGCACUUGUUCUGAGCCUAGCUUUCAGAUCACCCUCUCAACUAAACAUGACAAUCCAACGUUCUUAUUACCACUUUCACCAAUGAAUUUAGAGUGCAACGCUGGAUGAGAUUCCUUAACUUCUAUAGACGCCCUGUGUUCUGAAUUGAGUUUUAGUGAGAUGUGCUUUUUUAGUGGCUGGAAUUCUUCAUUUUCUUUGUUUUUUUUUUUUUAAAUCAAUUUUAAUCCUGCAUCACAAUUUCAGAAUGAGGUGGGUUUGUUUUUGGUCUGUAAGUCUGCAGCUUCAUUUUCUUGAAACAACUUGAGCUUUGUCCUUCAA
Molecule: long non-coding RNA, 1859 nt
Organism: Prosopis cineraria
Lineage: Eukaryota; Viridiplantae; Streptophyta; Magnoliopsida; Fabales; Fabaceae
Exons: 8
Source: RefSeq, a predicted model, not a curated record